RNAcentral lists this small nuclear RNA (107 nucleotides) under Chinchilla lanigera (long-tailed chinchilla). Lineage: Eukaryota; Metazoa; Chordata; Mammalia; Rodentia; Chinchillidae. The record is from RNAcentral.
GUGCUUGCUUCGGCAGCACAUACACUAAAAUUGGAACGAUACAGAGAUGAUUGGCAUGGUCCCUGUUCAAGGAUGACAUGCAAAUUUGUGAAGGGUUCCAUAUUUUA